RNAcentral lists this long non-coding RNA (286 nucleotides) under Parus major (Great Tit). RNAcentral describes it as "lncRNA (ENSPMJG00000000517.1)". The record is from RNAcentral. Lineage: Eukaryota; Metazoa; Chordata; Aves; Passeriformes; Paridae.
GAGCACUGCCCGCCGGCUCCACUCCGGGAAAUUCCCCGGCAGCUCCCGGUAGGGAAUAAAAGCACGGGGGGGAAAGGGAGCCGUCCCGCCGGCUUCUGCACCCUCUCCGCCGCCAGCACCAGCCAUGAACCCGCACCUCCGCAUCCUCCUCCUCCUGGCCGCUGCCGCUCUAUGCCAGGGUGCUCCGCUGGCCGGGGAGCUGCGCUGCCGCUGCCCGCGGACCGUGUCCGAGGUGAUCCCGCCGCGGCGCAUGGCCCGCCUGGAGUUCCUCGCCGAGGGGCCACAC